AUACGGAGGGGGCUAGCGUUGUUCGGAAUUACUGGGCGUAAAGCGCGCGUAGGCGGGCUGGUUAGUUGGGGGUGAAAUCCCAGGGCUCAACCCUGGAACUGCCCUCAAUACUGCCAGUCUUGAGUUCGAGAGAGGUAAGUGGAAUUCCUAGUGUAGAGGUGAAAUUCGUAGAUAUUAGGAAGAACACCAGUGGCGAAGGCGGCUUACUGGCUCGAUACUGACGCUGAGGCGCGAAAGCGUGGGGAGCAAACAGGAUUAGAAACCCCUGGUAGUCC
Molecule: ribosomal RNA, 275 nt
Filed under: uncultured bacterium
Lineage: Bacteria
Description: partial 16S ribosomal RNA
Rfam family: Bacterial small subunit ribosomal RNA
Source: RNAcentral